This is a non-coding RNA of Larimichthys crocea (large yellow croaker), 54 nucleotides long. NCBI's taxonomy places the organism in Eukaryota, Metazoa, Chordata, Actinopteri, Sciaenidae. The record is from Rfam.
UGGAACCUUCUUUGUAAGUCGCUUUGGAUAAAAGCGUCAGCUAAAUGACUAAAU